UCUCUUUUUCUUCACUGUUUCUCUAAAUUUUUUUCUUUUCCUUUUCUUUCUCUUUGUGUCGCCCAAUUGAUCAUCAACUCCCAUGAUCUCUUAUUUUAUUUUCGUUGUUAUUUUUUUACUGCCAUUGUCAUAUCUCUAUAGCCCCUUUUCUUCUCCAUUGCCGUUGUCUUAGUAAGCGACCAUCUUUUCCGUCGCCACCCUAUUGAUUUUCUUCCUCUACUCUUCGUUAUUUUUCUGUUGUCACAGAUCUGAGCAAGUAGAUUUGAAUGUUCAAGAUCUAGAUUUGAACCAUACGAAUCAAUCGCAGCAUUAAGAAGUUAUUUGCAAAGCUAUCAUAAGUCAACUAAGGUACAGAUCUGAGUUGGAGCAAUACAGAUCUUAAGCGUAAGAGUUUCGGGAAAGAGAUCAAAUUUGGAUUAGCGUUAAUAGGUAAGAGUUUCGGGAAAGAGAUCAAAUUUGGAUUAGCGUUAAUAGGUGUGAGUCUUUCCCUAUGUCUAAUUAGCUUAUAGUUAAAUGAUAUAUUUGCUUGCUAGUUUUGGCUUGGCCGAAUGGCCUAAGUGCAAAUGAGUGAGGUGUCGAGUAAGGUACGUAAUCAAUUAGAAUCUCAAUUGUUAAAGGCCUUGUUUAGGUCUGAUGGAAUUGUGUAUGAGUUGUAUGUAAUGUAUGACUUGUGCUAUGCAUUGGUUGACUGUAUGAUUGAUAUUUCAUAUCUCUGAUUGCUUAAUCCAUGAUGAAAUUGUAUAUUGAAUGCAUGUAUGCAUGCUAGAUUUUGAAACAUUGACUUAGAUGCAUGUUUUAUGCCAUGAUUGAUAUUGAAAUUGAAGGUAUUUAAAUUGCAUACCAUGUAUGAUAUUGAUUGUAUGGAAACCAUGUGAGCAUACCAUUGUUACAGUUAAAUGAAAAGUAUGCAAAGCAUACAUCGACACUGAAUAUUGACAUGCAUGUUAAACAUGUCAUUGUGCCGAAAUGGUUAUUGAAAGCAUGAUAUGCUUACUGAUUGUAUGACAUAUUGCAUCUACAUGGGGUGGGUAUUUGUGGUUGACAAAGGAGUUCCAUGGAGUACUGGAAGCAUUUAAAGUUAGCAAUAUUGUUGUUAGUGCAUUACACCAAAGUAUCGAGGAGAUUGGGUUUUUUAUAGCAUCUUAUUGGUAGCUUGUCUGCAUUUUACUGGUGGUUUUAUCUACAUACUGUUACUAGUGAUUUUAACCACAUCGAGCUUCAACUCUUACUGUUUUAGAGUUCAUAUGACAGGUUUUGGGAAACUCGUGUGUGUAGCGGAUAGAUUGGUAAGACCAUUGCACUGUAUGGUUGAGCAUGCCAUAUUCACAUGUUGUAAUGCCAUGAUAAGUUGUUUGAACUAUUAUAAUAGUUGUGUGCCUAUUUGAGUAAUUGAAUGCUUAUAGUUCUUAUACUCACACAGAUAACCCCUAAGUUUAGGCUCGGACACAGCAUACGAAGGUCUCAUUACGAAUUUUUUGGCAAUAGUGUGUAGCAGAUAGAUUAGUAGGACCAUUGCACUGUAUGAUUGAGAAUGCCAUAUUCACAUGUUGUAAUGCCAUGAUAAGUUGUUUGAACUAUUAUAAUAGUUGUGUGCCUAUUUGAGUAAUUGAAUGCUUAUAGUUCUUAUACUCACACAGAUAACCCUUAAGAUUAGGCUCUGACACAGCAUACGAAGGUCUCAUUAGAAUUUUUUUGGCAAUAAAGUAUUUUUAAUUACUUUAUUUAUUUUUGGUAUUAUUAUUUUGGGAUUGUAAUUUUUAUUUAAGUAUGGAUUGUAGUAUGGGUUAUUUUCUAAUUGGGAUUUUGCAUGCAUGAGAUAUUUUGAUGGAAAUUGAACAAAUUAAAUAUCCAGCCUAACACAAUUUAAAACAUGGGAUUUCCAAAAGCAACACUUGUUCCACAUCAAAAUGGUUGAACUCAAUUUUCAAAAGGUUUACUAAUAAAAUUAAGUGGAGGUUAUAUUUUCAAUGAUGCGUAUUUUAAAUGAAACUGGAUUUCAAUUACAUUUAAUUUAAUAAGCAGUGUUUUUAACAAACCUAAUGCAACCACGCUAAGUUUUUUGAAAAUUGGUCAAAUAGUGAUUUUUAAAACUGAAUGUUUCUACUUGACCAUUUCGGUGGCUAAUGCAACCUACAGGACUUAGCCAAAAUGUUUGGGCUGGGUUUGGGAGGUUACAUGAACAUUCUUUAUCGAGUCUUAUACGAGCAUAUGAUGCUUUAGAGUCAACCCAAUAUCAAAUAAGGACCUUUUUGUAAUAUUUCUAGAAUUUUUGAUCAAGUAUGCCAUAAAAAUCAUUUAAAUAUUCAAUCAUAUCAUAAAUUCGUAGAUAGUAAGAUGCACAAUUAAAUCUGAGCCUUAAUUGAAGUACCGAAAGCUCUUUUGUAGACCCGAGCAUGAAAGAAGACUAAAUUGCAAAGAUUUGAAAGUUUGGGCUUGACGUUGUGACAUCACCAAAUAGUUUUUCAUGUCAAGACAUUACGACAUCAUAAUCUGUCUGCCAAUGUUGCGACAAGGGGUAUUGCACGUCAAGACGAAGACCUUGUUUUUAGUAAAUUUUGACUUAUUUGGUACCUAUUUCAGGUCAAGCCAAACCGUUAGGUCAUUUGGUGCAUACAUGUACAUAUAAACCUAUAAAGAACCAAUCCAAAGGUAUUCUCAAACAUUCAUUUAUCAUUACUGAAUUCAAAUAAUCUAACAUGUCUAAAUUUGGCAUCAUUUUAAUAAACAUGUAUUUAACCAUCUCAUGCCAUCCUCA
Molecule: long non-coding RNA, 2755 nt
Organism: Gossypium arboreum
Lineage: Eukaryota; Viridiplantae; Streptophyta; Magnoliopsida; Malvales; Malvaceae
Exons: 3
Source: RefSeq, a predicted model, not a curated record